CAUCUUAACAGAUCAUUUCUCCCCCUCGGCAGAACUUAGGGCCCUAUGAGGGAGGCACCAGGAGGCUCCGUAAUCCACCGACAUCUUCUCUUUUACCUUAAACUCCUUCCCGAAGCAUCCUCCUAGCCCACCGUGGCAAUCAAGAGACCUCCUUCCUAAAAGGUGCGCUGCAGACUGAACCCGAGAUGUUGCUUCAGCUCCAGACGAAAGCUUUGACUCCUAAAGACAUGGAAUCCGAGCGUCAGAGCCCAGAGGUCUGAAUUCCCCCGCUGUCCCUGAAGUCAAGGCCCCAGCUGGCUCUCCAGUAGCUGUUAACCACCAAAGGGCUAACCUUUGCAUGGAGGUUCUUCACAAACCCAGCCGGCAGAAGACAGUCUCCAGUAAUAUCGCCUCCAGGGAGCCCAUGUAGGAGAAAAAGUUGGAAGCCUCUGAAAUCGGAUGGCUUAGGUUUCAGUGUACGAUGCUACAAAGAUGACAUGGGCCAUCUGUGCUUCAGUCUCUCCAUCAGCAAAAUGAGGACAUUAAUAUACCGACCUUGGAGGACCGUUUCGAAUUUCUUGCAGGUAACAGAACGACAUGGUUGGCAGCGUGGACUCUGAAGCCAGAUUCGUGCGGGUUUCCAUCUGAGCCCCACCGCUUGCUUACUGCCUAGCCUCAGCAAGUGAACUCACCUUUUGCUUUGUGCCAGUUUGCUCAGAUGCAAAAUGGGGACAAUAAUACAAACCUCCCAUAGUUGUUACAAAGAUUAACAUUUUAAAAUAAUUUAGACCAGUGUCUGGCUUGUAUAACAAGUACUUUUUGUGCAUUGAGUGUGGUAUUUGACCCUGAGUAAGAAAGUUAUACAUUAAUAUCAGAAUUAGUGUUAACCUCCGUGUGAGCAGGAGUAAUGCUGUAAAUGAGGGGAAAAUGGGGUAAUAACUCCAAGGACAGAAGAGAAAGGGACAAGAUACUCGUAGUUAGAAGAAAUUGCCUCUCAGCAAUCCCAUUGUGCCAGGCUUCACGUCACAGCUAGAACCAGGAUGUAAUACUUGGGUGUAUCUCAGUGACCCAGGAUCUCCCACUGGAAACACAUCAGGCACCCGCAUGCUGUUCUCGUGAGAAGUCCGGAAGCUUAUCUCUGAGGUGAGCAGAAGGGAGACCAGGGGCGGAAGCGACCGUGUGUGGCAAUCGUGGGUCUCAGUGACUGUAGACACAGGAAAUACUUCAUUCUUAGCAAAAAUGAGUCAUAGAUCAUGUUCCAUAAUCACACAGACACAGCAUGUCAGGCAGAGGAGCUGUGCUUGUCCAAGAAAUGUAAACAACAACAGUCCUUGACUUUCCGUCCUGCAGGGUCAUGAAGACCUGCCCUGUGUCACUGGCCAUUUCUUUAAGUCACAGCUGAAAAAGUGACACCUAUUUAUUCAAAGAACAGAGUCAGAAAAGAUGUGCUGAUCUGAUAAAUGGGUAAUAGGAUAUACUUGGUUUGUUUUAUGUGUUAGACCUCUCCCUAAGUAUUUGGGUGCAGAAAAAAAAAAUGGAGCCGUAAAUCAUGAUGAAUAUUUGAUUAAAACAACCCCACAGCAACUCUGAAAAAUCUACUUAAAUACAAAUAAUCACCCUAA
Molecule: non-coding RNA, 1601 nt
Organism: Vicugna pacos (alpaca)
Lineage: Eukaryota; Metazoa; Chordata; Mammalia; Artiodactyla; Camelidae
Source: RefSeq, a predicted model, not a curated record